AUUGAACGCUGGCGGCAGGCCUAACACAUGCAAGUCGAACGGUAACAGGAAGAAGCUUGCUUCUUUGCUGACGAGUGGCGGACGGGUGAGUAAUGUCUGGGAAACUGCCUGAUGGAGGGGGAUAACUACUGGAAACGGUAUCUAAUACCGCAUAACGUCGCAAGCCCAAAGAGGGGGACCUUCGGGCCUCUUGCUAUCGGAUGUGCCCAGAUGGGAUUAGCUAGUAGGUGGGGUAACGGCUCACCUAGGCGACGAUCCCUAGCUGGUCUGAGAGGAUGACCAGCCACACUGGAACUGAGACACGGUCCAGACUCCUACGGGAGGCAGCAGUGGGGAAUAUUGCACAAUGGGCGGAAGCCUGAUGCAGCCAUGCCGCGUGUAUGAAGAAGGACUUCGGGUUGUAAAGUACUUUCAGCGGGGAGGAAGGGAGUAAAGUUAAUACCUUAGCUCAUUGACGUUACCCGCAGAAGAAGCACCGGCUAACUACGUG
RNAcentral lists this ribosomal RNA (490 nucleotides) under uncultured bacterium. Its description in RNAcentral is "partial 16S ribosomal RNA". It matches the Rfam family "Bacterial small subunit ribosomal RNA", at positions 30 to 507 of the family's 1533-position model. The record is from RNAcentral.